This 110-nucleotide transfer RNA is filed under the name Azospirillum picis. RNAcentral describes it as "tRNA-Arg". Lineage: Bacteria; Pseudomonadati; Pseudomonadota; Alphaproteobacteria; Rhodospirillales; Azospirillaceae. The record is from RNAcentral.
GGGCUUGUCGAUCAGCCGGUCGAUCGUCGAACUGCACGGCGGGCGCCUGACCGCGGAGCCCGUGGCACCGCGUGGGAGCCGGUUCGAGUUCGUGCUGCCGGUCAUGCCCG